GCUUGAUAAGUCUUUCUUGGUGCCAGCACUGCUGGCUAAUUGGGAAGUCGGUGAGAAUCCGACACUGCCCCCGCAACGGUAACGCGCGCCCCAGAUUCCUCUGAGCGCUCGAAGUCCGAUACCAGCCAUAAAGACUUUUUACUU
RNAcentral lists this non-coding RNA (144 nucleotides) under Cryomorphaceae bacterium. Lineage: Bacteria; Pseudomonadati; Bacteroidota; Flavobacteriia; Flavobacteriales; Cryomorphaceae. The record is from RNAcentral.